ACCUUAAAGAAGCGUACUUUGCAGUGCUCACACAGAUUGUCUGAUGAAAAGUAAAUAGCAAGGCGUCUUGCGAAGCAGACUGAUACGUCCCCUUCGUCUAGAGGCCCAGGACACCGCCCUUUCACGGCGGUAACAGGGGUUCGAAUCCCCUAGGGGACGCCACUUGCUGGUUUGUGAGUGAAAGUCACCUGCCUUAAUAUCUCAAAACUGACUUACGAGUCACGUUUGAGAUAUUUGCUCUUUAAAAAUCUGGAUCAAGCUGAAAAUUGAAACACAGAACAACGAAAGUUGUUCGUGAGUCUCUCAAAUUUUCCCAACACGAUGAUGAAUCGUAAGAAACAUCCUUCGGGUUGUGA
Molecule: unclassified non-coding RNA, 356 nt
Filed under: Salmonella enterica subsp. enterica serovar Paratyphi A
Lineage: Bacteria; Pseudomonadati; Pseudomonadota; Gammaproteobacteria; Enterobacterales; Enterobacteriaceae
Description: 16S-23S ribosomal RNA intergenic spacer
Rfam family: Salmonella enterica Typhi npcRNA 44 (bases 240-349)
Source: RNAcentral